UAGCUGGCAGUCACCGUGCAGAGCUUCUUCGUAAUUCACGGCAUCCAGCCGACUGAUCUUAAAUGUGCGUGCUUCCAUCUCACAAGAGUUUUUCAGGAGCAUCAGAGCUGAAUUUACUAGAGACUCCUCUUGUGGUUAAGCGAGCUGAAGCUUUGCUCACAGCUGCUUUGGUUUUCCUGGGUUUACUACUCAGUCUAUUCUCACAUCCAGCCCCCACACCAAAGCCUCCUAAUUCCCUCUCACCUCCAGGACAAUCAGUCACUCCUCCACCACCAGCAAAGGAACCUGGCAUACCAUGCAGGGAAGAGAAUUCAAGGGCAAAACAGAUCGUUACGUAUAAAAGCUGGACCCUUCACAGCAAUGGCCAGAGACCUCACCUACGAGUGGACACACUGCGUAGGAACACCAGUUGUCUGGGAUAGACUCUCCAAAUCUUCACUGCAAAAAAGGGGUUCCCCAACGACUGCAGAUCUGGAUGAUGAGAAUGGCGCAAUUGCUGAUGUAUCUUUCUUAAUUACUGUACUUAUUCUCUUGUAGUAGCAAUCAAGUGUGUUUGCCUUCAAAGCUCUUACCGUUACCUUCUUAAUCACUGUUAAUCCUUUGUUACCUUUCUUGACGUAAUACGUUAAGUUUAAACUUGAUUUCACAGAAUAGUCGAGAGUUUGAGCUCUCAUGGUGCUUAUACCUUGUGCUUAGCACCUGGUGGUAAAAAAACGGGUAACUAGGCAGAGACUGUGAACAUAGACCUGCUUUUGUGUAAAAAUCGUGUCACUAAAAUUGACACCAGAAAUUCCUGUAACUUUGGCAGGUUUAUCUGGGGGUUGCAUACUCUUCAGCAGGAUUUCAUACACUUCCUUUCUGUUUUCUGUGUGUGCUCAAUUUGCAUCUCUUUCCUUAUGGAAAAGGAAGCACUUUUCUCACCAGAUACUUUGAAAGCCACAACUGCUUAGCGUUUAUCAGACAGAACGUUAACGAUGAAAUAAUGGCGAAAUUCAAGUGCUAGCAUACACUGCCACAAUUUUUCUUCAGUUUGUUCUGAACUUCCAGCCGCCAGUUGCACUCUUUCUACACAAGAUAAAUAAUCUAUUAUUCUUUAGUACAGCCCUGUUGUUAUGUUAUUAUUUAGUGUUACAUAGCUGGGAAGAAUGAUAAGUAUUCACUGCAUCAAAGGAGUCACAAAUUAAACGUCAGUCUCUUGGGAAAGGAGUGUGGAAUUCUUAAUUUGUUCUGUUUUAAAAUGGGAAGACUUUACAGAGAGAAAGUGAUUUGUAAAGCUCUUUGAGGAUCAUUUUGAAGCUGUGUGAUUAAUUUCUCUUUCUGUUCAUGAAGUGAACCCAGCCACCAGGAGUCCAAGGUGUCCUCUUCAUCCAAAGACAGAGCCAGACCCCUCACAACAAACCGACAGCUUUCUGAACGCAUGGACGCACAGCACAUGUACGUGCAGUGUUGGGGGAUUGUCCCGUCA
This is a long non-coding RNA of Cuculus canorus (common cuckoo), 1465 nucleotides long. RefSeq lists it as uncharacterized. Lineage: Eukaryota; Metazoa; Chordata; Aves; Cuculiformes; Cuculidae. The record is from RefSeq and is a predicted model, not a curated record. The transcript is spliced from 3 exons.